RNAcentral lists this ribosomal RNA (244 nucleotides) under uncultured bacterium. RNAcentral's name for it is "partial 16S ribosomal RNA". It matches the Rfam family "Bacterial small subunit ribosomal RNA", at positions 15 to 252 of the family's 1533-position model. The record is from RNAcentral.
GAUCAUGGCUCAGGACGAACGCUGGCGGCGCGCCUAACACAUGCAAGUCGAACGGAGCUGAGAAGAGCUUGCUUUUCUCAGCUUAGUGGCGAACGGGUGAGUAACGCGUGAGUAACCUGCCCUGGAGUGGGGGACAACAGUUGGAAACGACUGCUAAUACCGCAUAAGCCCACGGCCCGGCAUCGGGCUGAGGGAAAAGGAUUUAUUCGCUUCAGGAUGGACUCGCGUCCAAUUAGCUAGUUGG